GCCUGGGUAGCUCAGUAGGUUAAGCAUCUGACUCUUGGUUUCAGCUCAGGUCAUGGUCUCAUGGCUGUGGGAUCAAGCCCUGCUUCAGGCU
This 91-nucleotide transfer RNA is filed under the name Canis lupus familiaris (dog). It matches the Rfam family "tRNA". Rfam says of the family: Transfer RNA (tRNA) molecules are approximately 80 nucleotides in length. Their secondary structure includes four short double-helical elements and three loops (D, anti-codon, and T loops). RNAcentral also lists the same sequence under 1 other name. The record is from Rfam by way of RNAcentral. Lineage: Eukaryota; Metazoa; Chordata; Mammalia; Carnivora; Canidae.